RNAcentral lists this ribosomal RNA (478 nucleotides) under uncultured bacterium. RNAcentral describes it as "partial 16S ribosomal RNA". It matches the Rfam family "Bacterial small subunit ribosomal RNA", at positions 28 to 523 of the family's 1533-position model. The record is from RNAcentral.
GACGAACGCUGGCGGCGUGCUUAACACAUGCAAGUCGAACGGUAAGGCCCUUCGGGGUACACGAGUGGCGAACGGGUGAGUAACACGUGGGUGAUCUGCCCUGCACUUCGGGAUAAGCCUGGGAAACUGGGUCUAAUACCGGAUAGGACCCUGGGAUGCAUGUCCUGGGGUGGAAAGCUUUUGCGGUGUGGGAUGGGCCCGCGGCCUAUCAGCUUGUUGGUGGGGUGAUGGCCUACCAAGGCGACGACGGGUAGCCGGCCUGGGAGGGUGACCGGCCACACUGGGACUGAGAUACGGCCCAGACUCCUACGGGAGGCAGCAGUGGGGAAUAUUGCACAAUGGGCGCAAGCCUGAUGCAGCGACGCCGCGUGAGGGAUGACGGCCUUCGGGUUGUAAACCUCCUUCAGCACCGACGAAGCGCAGGUGACGGUAGGUGCAGAAGAAGGACCGGCCAACUACGUGCCAGCCGCCGCUGUAA